This 253-nucleotide ribosomal RNA is filed under the name uncultured bacterium. RNAcentral describes it as "partial 16S ribosomal RNA". It matches the Rfam family "Bacterial small subunit ribosomal RNA", at positions 524 to 776 of the family's 1533-position model. The record is from RNAcentral.
GACAGAGGGUGCAAACGUUGUUCGGAAUUACUGGGCGUAAAGCGCGUGUAGGCGGUUGCCCAAGUCGGGUGUGAAAGCCUUGAGCUCAACUCAAGAAAUGCACUCGGUACUGGGUGACUAGAGGACCGGAGAGGAUAGUGGAAUUCCCAGUGUAGUGGUGAAAUACGUAGAGAUUGGGAAGAACACCAGUGGCGAAGGCGGCUAUCUGGACGGUUUCUGACGCUAAGACGCGAAAGCGUGGGGAGCAAACAGG